This 411-nucleotide ribosomal RNA is filed under the name uncultured soil bacterium. Its description in RNAcentral is "bacterial SSU rRNA". It matches the Rfam family "Bacterial small subunit ribosomal RNA", at positions 26 to 444 of the family's 1533-position model. The record is from RNAcentral.
AGAUUGAACGCUGGCGGCAUGCCUUACACAUGCAAGUCGAACGGUAAAGGAGCAAUCCUUGAGAGUGGCGAACGGGUGAGUAAUAUAUCGGAACGUGCCCAGUCGUGGGGGAUAACGUAGAGAAAUUUACGCUAAUACCGCAUACGAUCUACGGAUGAAAGCGGGGGACCGAAAGGCCUCGCGCGAUUGGAGCGGCUGAUAUCAGAUUAGGUUGUUGGUGAGGUAAAAGCUCACCAAGCCGACGAUCUGUAGCUGGUUUGAGAGAACGACCAGCCACACUGGGACUGAGACACGGCCCAGACUCCUACGGGAGGCAGCAGUGGGGAAUUUUGGACAAUGGGCGCGAAGCCUGAUCCAGCAAUGCCGCGUGCAGGAAGAAGGCCUUCGGGUUGUAAACUGUCUUUUGUACGG